Molecule: small nuclear RNA, 103 nt
Filed under: Capra hircus (goat)
Lineage: Eukaryota; Metazoa; Chordata; Mammalia; Artiodactyla; Bovidae
Source: RNAcentral
ACACUUCAGCAGCACAUACACUAAAAAUUGGAACCAUACAGAGAAGAUUAACAUAGCCCUGUGCAAGGAUAACGUGCAAAUUCAUGAAGCAUUCCAUAUUUUU